This 253-nucleotide ribosomal RNA is filed under the name uncultured bacterium. Its description in RNAcentral is "partial 16S ribosomal RNA". It matches the Rfam family "Bacterial small subunit ribosomal RNA", at positions 524 to 776 of the family's 1533-position model. The record is from RNAcentral.
UACGUAGGGUCCGAGCGUUGUCCGGAGUUACUGGGCGUAAAGCGCGCGCAGGCGGCUCGUCAAGUCUGGCGUGAAAGCCCCCGGCUCAACCGGGGAGGGUCGUCGGAGACUGGCGGGCUUGAGGGCGGUAGGGGCUGGUGGAAUUCCCGGUGUAGUGGUGAAAUGCGUAGAGAUCGGGAGGAACACCCGUGGCGAAGGCGGCCAGCUGGGCCGACCCUGACGCUGAGGCGCGAAGGCGUGGGGAGCGAACGGG